Molecule: ribosomal RNA, 264 nt
Filed under: uncultured archaeon
Lineage: Archaea
Description: partial 16S ribosomal RNA
Rfam family: Archaeal small subunit ribosomal RNA
Source: RNAcentral
AGUCACUGACAUUAGAUACCCCCGUAGUCCCAGCCGUAAACUAUGCGCGUUAGGUGUGUCGGUAACCACGCGUUACUGAUGCGCCGAAGAGAAAUCGUGAAACGCACCACCUGGGAAGUACGGUCGCAAGGCUGAAACUUAAAGGAAUUGGCGGGGAGCACCACAACAGGUGGAGCCUGCGGUUUAAUUGGAUUCAACGCCGGACAUCUCACCGGAUAAGACAGCUGAAUGAUUGUCAAUCUGAAGGUUUUACAUGACUAGCUG